RNAcentral lists this small nucleolar RNA (135 nucleotides) under Lates calcarifer (barramundi perch). Lineage: Eukaryota; Metazoa; Chordata; Actinopteri; Centropomidae. The record is from RNAcentral.
UCCCUUCCAAAAGCACUUGCUUUGUCUGCUCAGUGGCUGGGUGAGUUGUCGUAGAAGGGAAUAUUAGACACAUCACUGUGGGUGAGAUGGCAGUGAUGCUGUGGCUGUCUGAUCUCAAUCAGCGAUGAUACAACU